CCGCCAUUAGCUCAUCAGGAAGAGCAGACGACAACCAGGAUUGUUGUGUACGGGGUUCGAGGCCUCGAUGGCGGUCCA
Molecule: transfer RNA, 78 nt
Filed under: Shigella sonnei
Lineage: Bacteria; Pseudomonadati; Pseudomonadota; Gammaproteobacteria; Enterobacterales; Enterobacteriaceae
Description: tRNA-Trp(cca)
Source: RNAcentral